GAGUUUGAUCCUGGCUCAGGAUAAACGCUGGCGGCGUGCAUGAGACAUGCAAGUCGAACGGACUUUCAAGCUUUGCUUGAAAGUUAGUGGCGGACGGCUGAGUAACGCGUAGGUGACCUGCCCCGAAGUGGGGAAUAACUGCCCGAAAGGGUGGCUAAUACCGCAUGCGAUCGGUCAUUCAUUUGAUCGAUCAAAGCAGUAAUGCGCUUUGGGAGGGGCCUGCGUCCGAUUAGCUCGUUGGUGGGGUAAUGGCUCACCAAGGCGACGAUCGGUAGGUGGUCUGAGAGGACGAUCACCCAGACUGGGACUGAGACACGGCCCAGACUCCUACGGGAGGCAGCAGUCGGGAAUUUUGCUCAAUGGACGAAAGUCUGAAGCAGCAACGCCGCGUGAGGGAUGAAGG
This 403-nucleotide ribosomal RNA is filed under the name uncultured bacterium. Its description in RNAcentral is "bacterial SSU rRNA". It matches the Rfam family "Bacterial small subunit ribosomal RNA", at positions 9 to 414 of the family's 1533-position model. The record is from RNAcentral.